CCCUCCCCAGCUCCCCUUUUUUUUUUUUUUUUUAAUCUUGCACAGGGGCCAUGCUAAUCUUCUCUGUAUUGCUCCAAUUCUAGUAUAUGUACUGCCAAAGCAAGCAC
RNAcentral lists this small nuclear RNA (107 nucleotides) under Cricetulus griseus (Chinese hamster). Lineage: Eukaryota; Metazoa; Chordata; Mammalia; Rodentia; Cricetidae. The record is from RNAcentral.